CUGUUAUAUAUGCUCUGGGAAAGUCAGGAUUGUUCUUCCAACUGCAGUGUGCAAAGAAUAUGGGUGAAAUUACAUCACUACUGCAUUCUCUGAAACAGAGAUUCAGAGGGAUCAUUGCCCAGCAGUUCACUUUCUCUGAAUGAGGAGUUCCCCUAAUAGUGAUUGAAGAGGCAGACCCAUGGGGUUACAGUCUUGCAAACCUUGCAACUCCUGCCUGCAAAGUAAGGAGGACUGCAGAGCGGCUGGUGGCUGGUCGUGUGUGUGUGACGACUGGAGAUAUUGCUCUGAACACUGCUGUGACAUCUGCUGCCAGAUGUGUGUGGACGUGUGCUCUGGCUUAUGUUCAGGGGACUGCAGCUAUACCUUCUGUACUCUCUGCCUCGGCAUGGCACAGAACUGUAUCUCCUUUUUUACCACCCAAAAAACUGAAUCAUCAGAGUCACAACAGGCUAUGAUGGAUCCAGUACAGCGUGCCUUUUGAACUUGACGGACCAGUGACCAAACCCAAAAUGUGGAUUGAUUUGAAAACACAAUGCAAGUAAAUUCAGCUACAUAGCAUUUGUUUAUAAAUUUUAAAAAAUAAAGGUUGAUGACAUGGUGUAGGGUUUCGCUGCAACUGGGUCUUUUUCUUUCAUGAAAAAGGAGAUUUUAGUUGCACUGUAACUAAAUGAGGUUUUUCAUUGAACUAUUUAAUCCACAUUGACCUCUAAAAAUCCUGCCAAGCGUACUAUGGACUGGAUCCAGCCAUUGUUAUUGUUUGCUUCCAAGUGCAUUUCAGUGAUAGUCUAAGUGCAUUUCAGUGGUAAAGGGAUUUCUGAUCCCAAGACAGAACCGCAUUUGAAGACAAAACAAUAAUCAACCGUUAUCAUACAAGGGUCAAAACAGGCCUCUGUAUAGAGCAUGUGUGUAUUAAAGUAUGAAUGCAUGUGUGUCAAUGUGUUCGGAGGAUAAUUGUAAAGCUCUUUGUCCCAUAGGGUUGAAAGGCACUAUAUAAAUGCAGUCAAUUUAAAAUGUACCAUGUCUUCUCAAGUGAUAUUCAGUUGAGAGGACAUUUAAACCUCUCAAUCACUCAUCGUUUUUGGUUUAAGGGUGUGCAUGUUUCUGUUUGAGAAGAAAACUGAAAAGCACAUCUUGUCGGGCUUGGAUGACUAGUGUUGUGCUUGUACAAUAUGUACAGGCUGUUUCAGUGACUAAGGAGCAGCACUGUAGGGCAGAGAAAGUCUGCAAAUAGGUUUUCUAGACGAGGAGAUGGGGAAAAUGUAA
Long non-coding RNA from Trematomus bernacchii (emerald rockcod), 1263 nucleotides. RefSeq lists it as uncharacterized. The transcript is spliced from 4 exons. Lineage: Eukaryota; Metazoa; Chordata; Actinopteri; Perciformes; Nototheniidae. The record is from RefSeq and is a predicted model, not a curated record.